GUCUUCGUGGUGUAGUGGUAAGAACGCUUGACGCGUAACCGAGAGGUCCGUGGUUCGAUUCCCGGCGAAGGCU
RNAcentral lists this transfer RNA (73 nucleotides) under Stegodyphus mimosarum. It matches the Rfam family "tRNA". Rfam says of the family: Transfer RNA (tRNA) molecules are approximately 80 nucleotides in length. Their secondary structure includes four short double-helical elements and three loops (D, anti-codon, and T loops). Lineage: Eukaryota; Metazoa; Arthropoda; Arachnida; Araneae; Eresidae. The record is from Rfam by way of RNAcentral.